Bombyx mori (domestic silkworm) is the source of this 782-nucleotide long non-coding RNA. RefSeq lists it as uncharacterized. The record is from RefSeq and is a predicted model, not a curated record. NCBI's taxonomy places the organism in Eukaryota, Metazoa, Arthropoda, Insecta, Lepidoptera, Bombycidae. The transcript is spliced from 2 exons.
AGAACUCGUGUCUCACGGUGGGUGGCGGCAUUUACGUUGUAGACGUCUAUGGGCUCCGGUAACCCCUUAACACCAGGUGGGCCGUGAGCUCGUCCGUCCCAUUAAGCAGAAAAAAAUCUAACCGAAAAAUACGUUGGAUGAUUGGUUUAUAAGGCUGGGAGACCGCAGGACACGACGCCAGUACUAUAAAAACAUGAUUGUGCUUUCAAUAUCUCAUAUAAGUCGCAACUUUUGUUUGGUACACAUGCCUUAACUCAAAUCUAACUGUGUACAUAUAAAACAACGCGAGGAUAAUACCUUUUUUUAAUACCUAUAAGUGUUUCUCUUAACAUUAUAUCUCGCAAUAAAUAAGUUUAAUGAUUUAGCAAGGUCAACUUUUACAUAAAUAAUACUUAUAUUAGUUUCUGUUGAGCUUCAACCAAUUCGCUGAAAAUUUAUACAAUGAAGUUGGUUAUUCUAUUAGUGUGCGUGGCGCUGUGCUCCUGCCAACGACCGUUCUACGCCGGCCGAAGACCAAUAGGCUUUCCAACAAUACAACCUUCGGGUGUAGCCAGCCGAUCCUCGGUCGACCCACUGCCACCACAACUGAACGGCGACAAAGAAUACGCGAACCGUCUCGAUAGUUUGCCCAUAGACCAGCAGCCAUUUUGGUACAUCAACAGAGAAAAGUACAAUGAGCUCAUGAAGAAUCCAAAGACGUACAGUCAAAGGCCCAAUGGUUUCAUCGAUAACAACGGUGUUUGAAUUUUUUUUUGCGUUCAAUAAAUCUUGUUUUGAUUUAA